AGUGGCGCACGGGUGAGUAACGCGUGGGAACGUGCCCUUCAGUACGGGAUAACGUCGGGAAACUGACGCUAAUACCGUAUAAUAUCUCCGGAUCAAAGAUUUAUCGCUGAGGGAUCGGCCCGCGUCUGAUUAGCUUGUUGGUGAGGUAAUGGCUCACCAAGGCUACGAUCAGUAGCUGGUCUGAGAGGAUGAUCAGCCACACUGGGACUGAGACACGGCCCAGACUCCUACGGGAGGCAGCAGUGAGGAAUAUUGGACAAUGGGCGAAAGCCUGAUCCAGCCAUGCCGCGUGAGUGAUGAAGGCCUUAGGGUUGUAAAGCUCUUUCGGCGGGGAUGAUAAUGACCGUACCCGCAGAAGAAGCCACGGCUAAAUUCGUGCCAGCAGCCGCGGUAAUACGAAUGUGGCAAGCGUUGUUCGGAAUCACUGGGCGUAAAGAAUGCGUAGGCGGCUUGACAAGUCAGGAGUGAAAUCCCAGGGCUUAACCCUGGAACUGCUCUUGAAACUAUCUUGCUAGAGUCCCGGAGGGGUCAAUGGAAUUCCGAGUGUAGAGGUGAAAUUCGCAGAUAUUCGGAGGAACACCAGUGGCGUAGGCGAUUGACUGGACGGGAACUGACGCUGAGGCAUGAAAGUGUGGGGAGCAAGCAGGAUUAGAUACCCUGGUAGUCCACACCGUAAACGAUGUGUGCUAGUUGUUGGGCAGCUUAGCUGUUCAGUGACGGAGCUAACGUUUUAAGCACACCGCCUGGAAGUACGGCCGCAAGGUUAAAACUCAAAGGAAUUGACGGGGACCCGCACAAGCGGUGGAACAUGUCCUUUAAUUCGUAGCAACGCGAAGAACCUUACCUACCCUUGAC
RNAcentral lists this ribosomal RNA (855 nucleotides) under uncultured bacterium. RNAcentral's name for it is "bacterial SSU rRNA". It matches the Rfam family "Bacterial small subunit ribosomal RNA", at positions 94 to 985 of the family's 1533-position model. The record is from RNAcentral.